GGUUGUGGCUCAGCGGUAGAGCGCUCGCCUCGCCCGUGCUAGACCCUGGGUUCAAUUCUUAGCACCA
RNAcentral lists this transfer RNA (67 nucleotides) under Marmota monax (woodchuck). RNAcentral's name for it is "tRNA.Ala". The record is from RNAcentral. Lineage: Eukaryota; Metazoa; Chordata; Mammalia; Rodentia; Sciuridae.